UACGAAUGGGGCAAGCGUUGUUCGGAAUCACUGGGCUUAAAGCGUGCGCAGGCGGUCAUGCAAGUCAGAAGUGAAAUCCCGGGGCUUAACCCCGGAAUUGCUUUUGAAACUGCACGACUAGAAUAUGGGAGAGGUUAGCAGAAUUCCGAGUGUAGAGGUGAAAUUCGCAGAUAUUCGGAGGAAUACCAGUGGCGAAGGCGGCUAACUGGACCAUUAUUGACGCUCAGGCACGAAAGCGUGGGGAGCAAACAGG
RNAcentral lists this ribosomal RNA (253 nucleotides) under uncultured bacterium. RNAcentral describes it as "partial 16S ribosomal RNA". It matches the Rfam family "Bacterial small subunit ribosomal RNA", at positions 524 to 776 of the family's 1533-position model. The record is from RNAcentral.